RNAcentral lists this ribosomal RNA (774 nucleotides) under uncultured Neocallimastigales. RNAcentral describes it as "partial large subunit ribosomal RNA". It matches the Rfam family "Eukaryotic large subunit ribosomal RNA", at positions 23 to 648 of the family's 3401-position model. Lineage: Eukaryota; Fungi; Neocallimastigomycota; Neocallimastigomycetes; Neocallimastigales. The record is from RNAcentral.
GAGACUCUGUGCGCGUGCAUAUCAAUAAGCGGAGGAAAAGAAACUAACAAGGAUUCCCUUAGUAACGGCGAGUGAAGCGGGAAGAGCUCAAAUUUGAAAUCUUCAAGGUUCUACCUUGACGAAUUGUAGUUUAUAGAAGUGUUUUCUGUUAGUGGAGUGGCAAAAGUUCUUUGGAAUAGGACAUCAUAGAGGGUGAGAAUCCCGUAUUUGGUCAUUCCUUCCUAGCUUUGUGAUACACUUUCAACGAGUCGGAUUGUUUGGGAAUGCAGUCCAAAAUGGGUGGUAAAUUUCAUCUAAAGCUAAAUAUUGGCGAGAGACCGAUAGCGAACAAGUACCGUGAGGGAAAGAUGAAAAGAACUUUGAAAAGAGAGUUAAACAGUACGUGAAAUUGUCAAAAGGGAAGCGUUUGACACCAGUGUUGUUUUUCCGAAAAUCAAUUACGAAUGUUUUGUUUUUAAGAAGUUAUGACUUCAUCGGCUUGCUUCUCUCUUUACGAAACUUUCUUAAUGCACUUUUCGGUUAACAAGUCAACAUCAAUUUCUUUUGUUGUAAAAGGGUAUGAGGAAGGUGGCUUUCUUUUCGGAGAAAGUGUUUAUAGCCUUGUACCUCUGCAAUCGGAGAGAUUGAGGUCUGCAGCGUAGAUCCUUCGGGGUUAGAUACAUUUGUGCUAAGUUAUAGCUUUCAUAGACAACUUGUUGACUAUGUUAAGUCUUGUAGCUUACUCGCUUAUGCUAUUUUACCUACGCUUAGGAUGUUGAUGAUCAGCUGAGCGCG